CCUACGGGAGGCAGCAGUGAGGAAUCUUGGUCAAUGGACGGAAGUCUGAACCAGCCAUGCCGCGUGCAGGAAGACGGCCCUAUGAGUUGUAAACUGCGUUUGUACGAGAAUAAUAGCUCUUACGUGAAGGGAUUUGAAUGUAUCGUACGAAUCAGGAUCGGCAAACUACGGUACAGCAGCCGCGGUAAUACGGAGGAUUCGAGGGUUAUCCGGAUUUAUUGGGUGUAAAGGGUGCGUAGGCUGUCGGAUAAGUUAGAGGUCAAAUGUCGGGGCUUAACCCCGGUCCUGCCUCGGAUACUGUUCGACUAGAGAGCGGAUGCAGCAGGCGGAAUGAGUAGUGUAGCGGUGAAAUGCUUAGAUAU
RNAcentral lists this ribosomal RNA (362 nucleotides) under uncultured bacterium. Its description in RNAcentral is "partial 16S ribosomal RNA". It matches the Rfam family "Bacterial small subunit ribosomal RNA", at positions 338 to 697 of the family's 1533-position model. The record is from RNAcentral.